This 73-nucleotide transfer RNA is filed under the name Mus musculus (house mouse). RNAcentral's name for it is "tRNA-Ser". The record is from RNAcentral. Lineage: Eukaryota; Metazoa; Chordata; Mammalia; Rodentia; Muridae.
GGAGAGAUGGCUCAGUGGUUAAGAGCACUGACUGCUCUUCCAGAGGACCUGAGUUCAAUUCCCAGCAACCACG